CCUACGGGAGGCAGCAGUGGGGAAUAUUGCACAAUGGGGGAAACCCUGAUGCAGCGACGCCGCGUGAGUGAAGAAGUAUUUCGGUACGUAAAACUCUAUCAGCAGGGAAGAAAAUGACGGUACCUGACUCAGAAGCCCCGUCUAACUACGUGCCAGCAGCCGCGGGAAUACGGCGGGGGCCAGCGUUAUCCGGAUUUACUGGGUGUAAAGGGAGCGUAGACGGCAGCGCAAGUCUGACGGGAAAUCCUAUGGCUUAACCAUGGAACUGCUUUGGACACUGUGAAGCUGGAGUGCAGGAGAGGUAAGCGGAAUUCGUGGUGUAGCGGUGAAAUGCGUAGAUAUUAGGAGGAACACCGGUGGCGAAGGCAGCUUACUGGACUGUAACUGACGUUGAGGCUCGAAAGCGUGGGGAGCAAACAGGAUUAGAUACCCGUGUAGUC
Molecule: ribosomal RNA, 440 nt
Filed under: uncultured bacterium
Lineage: Bacteria
Description: partial 16S ribosomal RNA
Rfam family: Bacterial small subunit ribosomal RNA
Source: RNAcentral